Molecule: ribosomal RNA, 490 nt
Filed under: uncultured bacterium
Lineage: Bacteria
Description: partial 16S ribosomal RNA
Rfam family: Bacterial small subunit ribosomal RNA
Source: RNAcentral
GAUGAACGCUAGCGAUAGGCUUAACACAUGCAAGUCGAGGGGCAGCAUGGUCUUAGCUUGCUAAGACUGAUGGCGACCGGCGCACGGGUGCGUAACGCGUAUGCAACUUGCCUCACAGAGGGGGAUAACCCGUCGAAAGACGGACUAAUACCGCGUACACUUGGGAUAGGGCAUCCUGACCCAAGGAAAUGAAAUUCGCUGUGAGAUAGGCAUGCGUCCCAUUAGCUAGUUGGUGAGGUAACGGCUCACCAAGGCGACGAUGGGUAGGGGAACUGAGAGGUUGAACCCCCACACUGGUACUGAGACACGGACCAGACUCCUACGGGAGGCAGCAGUGAGGAAUAGUGGUCAAUGGGCGAGAGCCUGAACCAGCCAAGUCGCGUGAAGGAUGACUGUCUUAUGGAUGGUAAACUUCUUUUAUACGGGAAUAACAAGAGUCACGUGUGGCUCCCUGCAUGUACCGUAUGAAUAAGCAUCGGCUAACUCCGUG